GCGGAUGUGGCGAAAUUGGUAGACGCACUAGACUUAGGAUCUAGCGCCGCGAGGCAUGGGGGUUCGAGUCCCUCUAUCCGCACUA
Molecule: transfer RNA, 85 nt
Filed under: Algoriphagus ratkowskyi
Lineage: Bacteria; Pseudomonadati; Bacteroidota; Cytophagia; Cytophagales; Cyclobacteriaceae
Also listed under: 4 other names
Description: tRNA-Leu
Rfam family: tRNA
About the family: Transfer RNA (tRNA) molecules are approximately 80 nucleotides in length. Their secondary structure includes four short double-helical elements and three loops (D, anti-codon, and T loops).
Source: RNAcentral